This 615-nucleotide ribosomal RNA is filed under the name Escherichia coli. RNAcentral's name for it is "partial 23S ribosomal RNA". It matches the Rfam family "Bacterial large subunit ribosomal RNA", at positions 578 to 1194 of the family's 2925-position model. The record is from RNAcentral. Lineage: Bacteria; Pseudomonadati; Pseudomonadota; Gammaproteobacteria; Enterobacterales; Enterobacteriaceae.
AGCACGCUUAGGCGUGUGACUGCGUACCUUUUGUAUAAUGGGUCAGCGACUUAUAUUCUGUAGCAAGGUUAACCGAAUAGGGGAGCCGAAGGGAAACCGAGUCUUAACUGGGCGUUAAGUUGCAGGGUAUAGACCCGAAACCCGGUGAUCUAGCCAUGGGCAGGUUGAAGGUUGGGUAACACUAACUGGAGGACCGAACCGACUAAUGUUGAAAAAUUAGCGGAUGACUUGUGGCUGGGGGUGAAAGGCCAAUCAAACCGGGAGAUAGCUGGUUCUCCCCGAAAGCUAUUUAGGUAGCGCCUCGUGAAUUCAUCUCCGGGGGUAGAGCACUGUUUCGGCAAGGGGGUCAUCCCGACUUACCAACCCGAUGCAAACUGCGAAUACCGGAGAAUGUUAUCACGGGAGACACACGGCGGGUGCUAACGUCCGUCGUGAAGAGGGAAACAACCCAGACCGCCAGCUAAGGUCCCAAAGUCAUGGUUAAGUGGGAAACGAUGUGGGAAGGCCCAGACAGCCAGGAUGUUGGCUUAGAAGCAGCCAUCAUUUAAAGAAAGCGUAAUAGCUCACUGGUCGAGUCGGCCUGCGCGGAAGAUGUAACGGGGCUAAACCAUGCAC